ACCAGGUGGUGGCGGAAAUGUGCCAACCGCCAAAAAACAGAAGAAGAAGAAAUGGAAACUCGUCUUUUAGUGGUCAACAGUUUAUUAGUUUCGUUUCUGUGGGUGUGUUGUGUUUAUCUGCUUUCUCUAACGGUUUUUAGGUUGCAGACACGUUAGGGGAAGACACAUACACUUGAUGCGGGAUGGUAUUUAUGUAAAACGCAACAACAAGCGUUUUGCAGACACACACAAAUAAAAAUACAGAUGAAUCUGAACGGAUGCUAGUGUUGUUGCGGGUGUAAUAAACAACAGAGAGGGUUAUUUACUGUCACUACACACGUGUAUUAAUGUUUUAUUAUCAUGUAGCAUGAAAUCCUCGACACGUUUGAUGCUCUUUGUUUGACUGAAAAACUGUUUUGUGCGAUUUCAUAAAUCGGCAUCUGAUAGGUAGCGUUUUUGUCUCAUUUCUCUUCUAAAUGAACGCUGGUGUAGCCUAUUUAUCAUUUAUUAAUUUUAAAUGUUUCAGUCCUGUGUUUCUUUAUGUUGCUGAGGAGAGAUGUGCUGCUAUUUAAAGUGACCUUACUUCUGGACGAUGAAUCGGGUGAUGUUACACAGCUGGAACUGGAGCAGAUAUCUUGAGCUGUCAACAUUUCUCUGAUCUUUAAAAUUAUCAUUGGAAACUUCAGUGAUGUUAGCCAAUCAUAACAGCGGCUGAUUACUGAGAAGCCUUAAAGGACCCGCCCCUUAAAAACAGGCUGUUCCUGAGAAAGAUGCAGAAGAUCCCGACUGCAGCUACAGUCAACAGAGAUCCAACAACAGCUGCAGAGAUCAAAACUAUCAGAGAAACUGAAGGAACUGAAGUAGAAUAAAAGAGAGACCGU
Molecule: long non-coding RNA, 860 nt
Organism: Carassius carassius (crucian carp)
Lineage: Eukaryota; Metazoa; Chordata; Actinopteri; Cypriniformes; Cyprinidae
Exons: 4
Source: RefSeq, a predicted model, not a curated record